Molecule: long non-coding RNA, 515 nt
Organism: Gracilinanus agilis (Agile Gracile Mouse Opossum)
Lineage: Eukaryota; Metazoa; Chordata; Mammalia; Didelphimorphia; Didelphidae
Exons: 3
Source: RefSeq, a predicted model, not a curated record
CUAUCCUUGAGAAUCCACAUUCUGGGAAGACAAAAUGAGAAAGUCUGGGAAACUGGAGAAAAAAGUGAAGAAAUGGAAGUCAAGGAAAAGACAUAUUUUUAUUUCCUGGAGCUACAGUGAAUGGAAACUAAGUGUUGCCAAUGCUGCUGUUUUCAACAGAGAGUCCAGAACGCAGGCGACCAACCUGCCUCAGAGUGCCUACACUCACUAGGAGACCGGCAGACCGCCAUUCAGCCCUUCUGACUCGCGUCCCGGCAAGCCACCUUCCCCCUUGAACGCCAAAAUGUCCGACAACCUCUUUGCCAUCUAAGCCUUUUUGAGUCCUCUUGAACGCAAGCCCAUGAAGUACAUGGGCACUUCACUCUCCCCACCCCCUGGGUCGUGCCACGACGUUUCCCCCAACUCUUUUCUCAACCUGUCUACCCCACGCUCCCCCAAAUAAACCAGAGCCAUUCGUGAUUCUCAAACCUGUCUGAAGUGUCGUCAGGAAAAAAACCACGCAAAGUGCCCAGGAU